GAUGAACGCUGGCGGCGUGCCUAAUACAUGCAAGUCGAGCGAACAGAUGAGGAGCUUGCUCCUCUGACGUUAGCGGCGGACGGGUGAGUAACACGUGGAUAACCUAGCUAUAAGACUGGGAUAACUUCGGGAAACCGGAGCUAAUACCGGAUAAUAUAUUGAACCGCAUGGUUCAAUAGUGAAAGACGGUUUUGCUGUCACUUAUAGAUGGAUCCGCGCCGAAUUAGCUAGUUGGUAAGGUAACGGCUUACCAAGGCAACGAUGCGUAGCCGACCUGAGAGGGUGAUCGGCCACACUGGAACUGAGCCACGGUCCAGACUCCUACGGGAGGCAGCAGUAGGGAAUCUUCCGCAAUGGGCGAAAGCCUGACGGAGCAACGCCGCGUGAGUGAUGAAGGUCUUCGGAUCGUAAAACUCUGUUAUUAGGGAAGAACAAAUGUGUAAGUAACUAUGCACGUCUUGACGGUACCUAAUCAGAAAGCCACGGCUAACUACGUG
RNAcentral lists this ribosomal RNA (497 nucleotides) under uncultured bacterium. RNAcentral describes it as "partial 16S ribosomal RNA". It matches the Rfam family "Bacterial small subunit ribosomal RNA", at positions 28 to 507 of the family's 1533-position model. The record is from RNAcentral.